CCGGCGUAUACAGCACCUGGUCCGCGCUCUCUCCUCCACGAGCGGGCCCACUGGACAGGCAACGAUGCGGGCAGCUGUAGCCUUAUCCUCUCCUGGGUCAAUCUGAAUCGCCAUUGCGCAAGGACUUUCACUGCCAUGUCUGCUUCUUCUUCGGUUCUUCCUCUGACCCGCAGGUGCCGGGGACCGAGCUGAUCCCACACCCCAGAUGUGGUCAGGAAGUCAUCAGCGACAUCUCGACCGGCGGGAAAAGGCCAGGCAAUAGGUACUACAGGCGCAUCCUUUGGAGUUCUCGUCAGUGUUGGUUUUUCGAGUGGCAAGAGAUUUAUCCUGCUGUGCUGGAGUCCGUCAGAUCUCGGUCUCUGCCGCCCCCACCAUCCACAGCUUCUCCUGGGCUGUUAGCCUGCAGCACUGGAGCUCGCGUCAGGAAGGAGUCCGAGAGUUCACCGGCUAUUCUGUUUUGAAUGGAUGCGAGCAUGUCGCCCCGGCCAAGGCCGAUUUCUCCAGGAUUGCGCUGCUCAUGCUUGCUACUAUCUUGAUGCUCCAUGUGUUCUUGCUAGGCAUGUCUGUCCGGACACUGGCAGUCGUGUAUUUCAAGUGAGAGGCGCCGUUGGUGUCUUGCUGCUUUUGGGUCGAAAGUUGAGUUAGUAGUAAUGCUAGUGUUUGCUGCGUGUGAGUUUAGUUAAGUACUAGUCUCAAUUAGAUUCAGAUCCGUCAGACAUUUCGUAGUACUGGAAAUGUCUUGGUUUGAAUAUGUGUUAGCUGGUGUUGGCCUGAAAUUGUACAUUGUUGCUAUGUGCAAAUCAGCUUAAAUGUCAAUCCAUGUGUUA
Triticum urartu is the source of this 827-nucleotide long non-coding RNA. RefSeq lists it as uncharacterized. The record is from RefSeq and is a predicted model, not a curated record. NCBI's taxonomy places the organism in Eukaryota, Viridiplantae, Streptophyta, Magnoliopsida, Poales, Poaceae.